GCUUAACUCUGGAACUGCCAUCAAAACUUUUCAGCUAGAGUUUGAUAGAGGAAAGCAGAAUUUCUAGUGUAGAGGUGAAAUUCGUAGAUAUUAGAAAGAAUACCAAUUGCGAAGGCAGCUUUCUGGAUCAUUACUGACACUGAGGAACGAAAGCAUGGGUAGCGAAGAGGAUUAGAUACCCUCGUAGUCCAUGCCGUAAACGAUGUGUGUUAGACGUUGGAAAUUUAUUUUCAGUGUCGCAGCGAAAGCGAUAAACACACCGCCUGGGGAGUACGACCGCAAGGUUAAAACUCAAAUGAAUUGACGGGGACCCGCACAAGUAGUGGAGCAUGUGGUUUAAUUCGAAGAUACGCGCAGAACCUUACCAACACUUGACAUGUUCGUCGCGACUUUAAGAGAUUAAAGUUUUCGGUUCGGCCGGACGAAACACAGGUGCUGCAUGGCUGUCGUCAGCUCGUGUCGUGAGAUGUUGGGUUAAGUCCCGCAACGAGCGCAACCCUCACUUUUAGUUGCCAUCAUUUAGUUGGGCACUCUGAAAGAACUGCCAGUGAUAAGCUGGAGGAAGGUGGGGAUGACGUCAAGUCCUCAUGGCCCUUACGUGUUGGGCUACACACGUGCUACAAUGGUAUCUACAACAGGAAGCGAAACAGCGAUGUUAAGCAAAUCCUUAAAAGAUACCUCAGUUCGGAUUGCACUCUGCAACUCGAGUGCAUGAAGCUGGAAUUACUAGUAAUCGUGGAUCAGCGUGCCACGGUGAAUGCGUUCCCGGGUCUUGUACACACCGCCCGUCACACCAUGGGAGUUGGUUCUACCUUAAGGCAAGGUUUAAUACCCUUGACCACGGUAUAGUCAGCGACUGGGGUGAAGUCGUAACAAGGUAGCCGUA
RNAcentral lists this ribosomal RNA (886 nucleotides) under uncultured bacterium. RNAcentral describes it as "bacterial SSU rRNA". It matches the Rfam family "Bacterial small subunit ribosomal RNA", at positions 607 to 1504 of the family's 1533-position model. The record is from RNAcentral.